This 232-nucleotide ribosomal RNA is filed under the name uncultured bacterium. Its description in RNAcentral is "partial 16S ribosomal RNA". It matches the Rfam family "Bacterial small subunit ribosomal RNA", at positions 100 to 334 of the family's 1533-position model. The record is from RNAcentral.
CGGCACGGGUGAGUAACGCGUAACUGACCUACCCCGAAGUCUGGAAUAACUGGUCGAAAGAUCAGCUAAUACCGGAUACCCAGAUGACUCGUGAGUCAUCUGGAAAGAUUUAUUGCUUUGGGAUGGGGUUACGUUCCAUCAGCUUGUUGGUGAGGUAAAGGCUCACCAAGGCGACGACGGAUAGCCGGCCUGAGAGGGUGGCCGGCCACAGGGGCACUGAGACACGGGUCCC